Molecule: long non-coding RNA, 988 nt
Filed under: Citrus x clementina
Lineage: Eukaryota; Viridiplantae; Streptophyta; Magnoliopsida; Sapindales; Rutaceae
Description: Citrus clementina (C. clementina) long non-coding RNA (CCLE_LNC000469)
Source: RNAcentral
UUUGGACUAAAGUGAAAGGUUUUGAGAAUUUUGAAAAAUAUGGGGAUUAUGUUGAAAAUGACUUUUUUGCGCAAUAAGGGCUAGUUUUCGGGCUUUAACUAUAAAAACUCAACUCCAACUUCAUUUUAAGAACUAAUGCAAGCAUAAAUAAGAUCAUAUAACAUAUAUUGAGCUUCCAUUUCGCAAAUCAUCAUUUAUUGAAUCAUUAUUGAGCUAUAAUUUGUUAUCUACUCUUAAAGAGAGUUUCAUUGUUGUGAUUUUCAUUUCUUAUCAAAUUGUGAGUGUACAAGUGUGAGAAACACUUGGGGUGAAGAGAUUGGGGAGAUAAUCUCUUGUUGUAAAGGCCCAUUGAUACCUUGGAAGUCAAUUGUAAACAUUUAAAGCCUUGGGAGGCUUGGAUAGUGAAAUCCUCAAGCCGGGUGUGCUUGAAGGCGUGGACGUAGGCGGGGAUAGUCGAACCACGUAAAAAUCCUUGUGUUUGUUUUCUCUUCCCUUACUCUUUUAAUAUUGUGCUUGAUUGAAUUUAUUGUUUUUGAUUUGAUUAAGGCAAUAGAUUAAAUUGUUGUGUGAAUUGUAUUGCAUAAUUUUAAAACCUCAAUUCAUCCUCUCUCUUGGGUUGCAUAACUUGCAUUUCAUUAUGGACAUUAAAAUAUAAUAAAAAAGAAAAAAUAGAAUUUUUACUCUUUGAACCCAUCUUCAUAUUCAACAUAAUUUUAUCAAACCCUAAUCAUAAAAUCCUAAUUAAAUUGUCAUUAAAUCCUAAUCAAUGAAGAGGUUUUAUGGAGGAACACAACAAAAUUGACAAUUGUUUGAAUCGAUAACACUAACACGACUUAAAAGUGUUUAAUUUACUCCCAAGUAUAAGAGUGCCUAAUUAUACUAUAGCUCGGUGAGUCCGAGGUUGAUCCACAGAGUAAUGAUUUAAUUUGUUUAUUUAAAUUUAUCUAAAAAAUGAAAAUAAAAUUUAAAUGUAUGCAAUUUAAUUUGA